CCGCGGUAAGACGUAGGAUGCAAGCGUUGUCCGGAUUUAUUGGGCGUAAAGAGUUCGUAGGCGGUUUGUUAAGUCUGAUGUUAAAGACCGGGGCUCAACCUCGGAAAUGCAUUGGAUACUGGCAGACUGGAGUGCAGUAGAGGCUAGUGGAAUUCCCAGUGUAGCGGUGAAAUGCGUAGAUAUUGGGAAGAACACCGGUGGCGUAGGCGACUAGCUGGGCUGUAACUGACGCUGAGGAACGAAAGCCAGG
Molecule: ribosomal RNA, 250 nt
Filed under: uncultured bacterium
Lineage: Bacteria
Description: partial 16S ribosomal RNA
Rfam family: Bacterial small subunit ribosomal RNA
Source: RNAcentral